CAAAGGCUUCGGCCGGUAAAGGAUGGGGAUGCGUCUGAUUAGCUUGCCGGCGGGGUAACGGCCCACCGGGGCGACGAUCAGUAGGGGUUCUGAGAGGAAGGUCCCCCACAUUGGAACUGAGACACGGUCCAAACUCCUACGGGAGGCAGCAGUGAGGAAUAUUGGUCAAUGGGCGCGAGCCUGAACCAGCCAAGUAGCGUGCAGGACGACGGCCCUAUGGGUUGUAAACUGCUUUUAUACGGGGAUAAAGUAUGCCACGUGUGGUUUAUUGCAGGUACCGUAUGAAUAUGGACCGGCUAAUUCCGUGCCAGCAGCCGCGGUAAUACGGAAGGUCCGGGCGUUAUCCGGAUUUAUUGGGUUUAAAGGGAGCGUAGGCCGGGUUUUAAGCGUGCCGUGAAAUGUCGGGGCUCAACCUUGACACUGCGGCGCGAACUGGAGUCCUUGAGUGCGCGGAACGUAUGCGGAAUUCGUGGUGUAGCGGUGAAAUGCUUAGAUAUCACGAAGAACCCCGAUUGCGAAGGCAGCAUACGGCAGCGCUACUGACGCUGAAGCUCGAAGGCGCGGGUAUCGAACAGGAUUAGAUACCCUGGUAGUCCGCGCGGUAAAAGAUGGAUGCCCGCUGUUGGCGAUAUAUUGUCA
This 639-nucleotide ribosomal RNA is filed under the name uncultured bacterium. RNAcentral describes it as "bacterial SSU rRNA". It matches the Rfam family "Bacterial small subunit ribosomal RNA", at positions 202 to 842 of the family's 1533-position model. The record is from RNAcentral.